Molecule: ribosomal RNA, 382 nt
Filed under: Providencia stuartii
Lineage: Bacteria; Pseudomonadati; Pseudomonadota; Gammaproteobacteria; Enterobacterales; Morganellaceae
Description: partial 23S ribosomal RNA
Rfam family: Bacterial large subunit ribosomal RNA
Source: RNAcentral
CAAACCGGGAGAUAGCUGGUUCUCCCCGAAAGCUAUUUAGGUAGCGCCUCGUGAACUCAUCUUCGGGGGUAGAGCACUGUUUCGGCUAGGGGGUCAUCCCGACUUACCAACCCGAUGCAAACUACGAAUACCGAAGAAUGUUAUCACGGGAGACACACGGCGGGUGCUAACGUUCGUCGUGAAGAGGGAAACAACCCAGACCGCCAGCUAAGGUCCCAAAGUCAUGGUUAAGUGGGAAACGAAGUGGGAAGGCUCAGACAGCCAGGAUGUUGGCUUAGAAGCAGCCAUCAUUUAAAGAAAGCGUAAUAGCUCACUGGUCGAGUCGGCCUGCGCGGAAGAUGUAACGGGGCUAAACCAUGCACCGAAGCUGCGGCAGCGACAU